GAUUAGCCCGCGUUGGAUUAGGUAGUUGGUGGGGUAAUGGCCUACCAAGCCUACGAUCCAUAGCUGGUUUGAGAGGAUGAUCAGCCACACUGGGACUGAGACACGGCCCAGACUCCUACGGGAGGCAGCAGUGGGGAAUCUUAGACAAUGGGGGAAACCCUGAUCUAGCCAUGCCGCGUGAGUGAUGAAGGCCUUAGGGUUGUAAAGCUCUUUCAGCUGGGAAGAUAAUGACGGUACCAGCAGAAGAAGCCCCGGCUAACUCCGUGCCAGCAGCCGCGGUAAUACGGAGGGGGCUAGCGUUGUUCGGAAUUACUGGGCGUAAAGCGCACGUAGGCGGACUGGAAAGUUGGGGGUGAAAUCCCGGGGCUCAACCUCGGAACUGCCUCCAAAACUAUCAGUCUGGAGUUCGAGAGAGGUGAGUGGAAUACCGAGUGUAGAGG
This 440-nucleotide ribosomal RNA is filed under the name Paracoccus seriniphilus. Its description in RNAcentral is "bacterial SSU rRNA". It matches the Rfam family "Bacterial small subunit ribosomal RNA", at positions 224 to 681 of the family's 1533-position model. Lineage: Bacteria; Pseudomonadati; Pseudomonadota; Alphaproteobacteria; Rhodobacterales; Paracoccaceae. The record is from RNAcentral.